This 105-nucleotide ribosomal RNA is filed under the name Desulfofundulus thermobenzoicus. RNAcentral's name for it is "partial 16S ribosomal RNA". It matches the Rfam family "Bacterial small subunit ribosomal RNA", at positions 1 to 119 of the family's 1533-position model. Lineage: Bacteria; Bacillati; Bacillota; Clostridia; Eubacteriales; Peptococcaceae. The record is from RNAcentral.
AUUAAUGGAGAGUUUGAUCCUGGCUCAGGACGAACGCUGGCGGCGUGCCUAACACAUGCAAGUCGAGCGAUUGAGAGGUGAGAGGUGAGAGGUUAGAAGUGAGAU